Long non-coding RNA from Herpailurus yagouaroundi (jaguarundi), 1622 nucleotides. RefSeq lists it as uncharacterized. The record is from RefSeq and is a predicted model, not a curated record. The transcript is spliced from 3 exons. Lineage: Eukaryota; Metazoa; Chordata; Mammalia; Carnivora; Felidae.
GCCCUGCUUCAGGGAACAUGAGCCCUGGGUGAGCCCCGAGUCUCUCUCUCUGCCCCCUUGCUCACUUGCGCCCUCUUCAAAAAAAAGAGUUACAGGUUCAGAGCAUCCCUUUCCUAUAUGAUAAGUCAGACCAAGACCUAACAAUUCCCAAUUUGACAGAUUGAGGGCAAGUCCUGGUUCAUUCUAGUUCCCUCUGAGCACCACCCACUUGGAGAGCCGGGAUCAGUUUAAAAUACUUCCUUUCAUCCACUGAACUAGAUAUAAGAGCCAGUAUCAGAGCGCCCACUGCUCAGGUUCUUGCUGGCCCCUUGGCUUUCUCCCUAGAGCUUCAUCUGUCCUAUUCAAAAGGAUGGUUCUUUUCCCAGCGACAAGGGAGUUGAUGGAAGUUGGCCUGAACUUCUAAACUGGGUUUUCUUGCUCCAGGUUCUUGUGGCCAGGAGAGCUUGUCCAGUGUGAAGGAAGAGUUCUGUGCUGACCCCUCGGUUAGGGGCUGCCUGUCAUCACAGGACAUCCUUGGCUUUUUGGUGUUGACCAUUUUUAUUUUAAUCAGGAUGAAUCCCCAUUUACUGAACAAGUGUCUUUCUGGAGUAUGACUUGGAGAGGAACAGCUCUGACGUCCCUAAGGCAGCUUCAUGGACCUGAGGCACACCUAUCUUCCAGGCUCCCAGGCUACGCUAUACUGCUUUUCACUGCAAAUGCCUUGAUCUUUCUUCCUGGUAGAAAACAGGACAAGUCUCAGUCUUGCAAGCACACAGAUCAGUUUCACCUCCUGUUUCCUCCAGACAGACCUGAGCUCAUUAAUCGACCCAUGAGGCCCUACAAAGGGGAAGGGAUGGGGGUGAGGGGAAACCCUCACUUGAGACUGAAGGUCUUGCCCUAUGGUGCGUAGUUGCUUGCCUCGUCAUGCAUGUGGGCCACGUCCCUGUGGUGGGGCAGCUUGGAUUGGCACGAGUUUCUACCCACUGGGUUACGCAUCAUCUGGGAAGCUUCUAAAAAAUACCAGUGCGUACAGCCCUAGCAUAGGUAUUUUUCAAAAGCUUUCCCGGGUGAAUGGAAGGUCAGGGUUGAGACGCUACAAGUGUGGGCAGAGGAAACCAGAAAACCACGGUCAGGAAGAGGAAGUCCAUGGUACCAGGGGCAAAGAUGAGAAGUGGACUGGCUCCCUGCAGGGGGAGUCUCCUCUCCUGCUGUCUCCAAUAGGAACCACUCCUGGCUGGCUGGCACACCAGGGACAAGUAACUGCUCAGAGUUGCAGGCCUGUACUUCUCUCACCCCGUGCACACGUGCACACAGCACUACUUGCAAGACUUCAGCUGGCCUCCAGAAGGACCAAGUCGGGAACAGGCCCCCGUGUCCACCUGGGACCAGAAUCACUGGCCGGCCUUGGUGUGUGUCUGCCCCAGCGUAAUUCUAGAAACCUCACAGUUCUGUCACACAGAAGCCAGGCCUGUGGACACAGCAGCGUGGGAGAUGGAGAGAGGAACUUUCCUGAAGCGGGCUGAGGGGAACGGCCUUGCUCAUCCAUCCAAGCUUAAGAUCUGGCUUGCCCACUGAAUAAAUCAGAUGUGAAACGUUUCUAGUUUUUCUGGCUCCCCCACAAAAUAAAGUCAGCAGAUGUGAAA